This 1535-nucleotide long non-coding RNA is filed under the name Homo sapiens (human). Its description in RNAcentral is "SLC67A1 antisense RNA (SLC67A1-AS)". The record is from RNAcentral. Lineage: Eukaryota; Metazoa; Chordata; Mammalia; Primates; Hominidae.
ACUCUCUGCGACGGCCCAGAUGGAGGGCAGGAGGAACAGCGGUUCAGCCCUGGCUGGGGCUGCAGGGGCUGGGGUGUGUUACUCACUGGCACGAUGGAGAACUGCAUGAAGAGGCAGCGGAGUGCUGUCUGUCCCCACCCUUCCCCGCCCGGCCUCCAACUGGUGGGAACUGGAUUUUGCGGCUGCAGAGGACUUCCCCAAAUUUUGCCACAUUAACAGCUGACUGCACAUCUGAGCCCCGAGGCAAUGCGGUGUGCAGAGGGUGCUUGGUGGUUCUCUCCUGAUGGCCCCGCAGGGUCUGCAGCCUCCAUCUGGCCAGCAGAGGGCGCAGAAGGACUGCCUGGGCAGCUCGGACGUGACCGCCUGGAAGUGGUGUACAGCGUUCCUGACAACGUUCCCGGCCAAAACGGGUCCCGCCGCCCACUUGUGUGCAAGAUAACUGGAAAAUGUCUUUCUGUGUGCUCCGAGGAGAAUGCAAAGGCUGGUGGAUGUAGUGCCUUUCCUCUACUGCUCUCUCAGCUGGGGGCAAGAAUGACAGGACGUGAACAUGCACACAAGGGCCCGGAACUCACGACCCCCGACAGCGGUCUCCCCCGCCCCCCCAACCCCGCGCUUGCAGGAUUUAGGGCACUAGCACAGCACAGUCCACCCCUUGGGACUAGCACCCCCUCCGCAGUUCUGCUCUCUGCAGCAACAUAGAGUACAAAUAUUGUUCCUUUUGUUUCUUUUUUCCCUUUGGAUACAUUUUUAAUUACAAAAAUAGAGCUUGAUUGUUGCACCUAGACAGAUGUUUGCUUGCUUCUGGGCCCAUUGGGCCUCCUCUCAGAGCCUGGAACUCCCAGCCCCCAGCUCCUGGGGUGCCUUCCUCCAGGUGUGUCCCUGGCUUGGGCUGGGGGGACACAGCCCCGCUCCUGGGACGUGCAGGUUUAAAAUGCUAUUGGGUACCAUCUUUGAUCGAAUUCAGAGUGACAGACUUAGAGCAGGUCACCUCUCAGCUUCUAACGAGGCCAAGACGGAGGAAUCCCCACAGCACUGGGUUUGACUCUGUAAUUAAGCUGGUAAAGUGGAAAAAUAAAAGUAGGAAACCUAAGUGGAAACCAAACCAGAAAGCCAGGCAGCCCGGGAGUUCUGAGCCCUGCUUCCUUCCAGCUGUGCGGCCUCAGCGGCUGACGCGGUCUCUGCUGCUCUUCUAUAACACAGGAUGAUGGCAGCUACACCCUCUGAGUGGUGUCACCAAGGCCAAUGAGUCCUGAUGGUUGGAGUGUGGGUAUCCGGGGGCCUCUAGGUCACUACCCACUCUAGCCCUUUGCUCCUAGUCUCUGGGGAGGUGGCAGCAUAGGGGCAUGGAGCAGACUAGACUUUGCCUCUUUCUGCCCCCAGGCCAGUUGAUAUGAGCCCUGCUUGAGGGGUUCGCAGGGCCUGGGGAGCCUUCUUCAGCUUCUCUUUGUUUUCCUAAGAUGAAAAUUGUGACAUCUGGGCUUGUUGCGGGAAAUUUGUAAAUUGUGCACAGAGAAGAAUAUGAAAUUGCACAUAAA